AAAAUAAAAGAUUUAAAAUCAAAAUAGAAUCAAGAGACAAGUCUGACGCGUCUUUGAUAACGCGUGACAGACACGCUUGCUUCAUUCUUACGCAGAGACGUUAUUAUAAAACAAACACUCGAGCAGUUGAGUUUCGAAGAAAGAAAAUAUAGCGGUUGGAACUUGGAGAUGGCGCGAACAAGAAUCAGAGAAAGCGUUGGCUUGUUCAUGGCUUCUGGUGGAGAGAGAGAGAGAGAGAGAGAGAGAGAGAGAGAGAGAGAGAGAGAGAGAGGGGUAACGCUCUUCCUCUUUCUUUCUGUGAGGGAAAGCGUUGUUUGGCUUUUGAUUUAGGGUUUCUAUUUUCCUCUCUUCCUUUCUUCUUUCUGCCUGAUUAUGGAUUCUUCAAAUUUCUUCUUGGCUUUUCUGAUUUAGGGUUUCUCUCCGCGAGAAUACCAAUAUCAAUUACGGACUCUUGUUGCCACUGUCCCUGUCCCUGUUUUUUACAUUUUCGGGUGAUGGUGGUUUGAGGGCUGGGCCUAACGGCUUCCCCUUUCUGAGUAUGCAAGUCCCUAAAAGGAUAUGGUUGAGAUGACCCUUAAGUCGCGAGAAUGAUAAUUUUGAUUACCGACCCUUGUUGCCUUUGUCGCUGUCCGUGCAUUUUAUAUUUUCAGAUGAUGGUAAUUUGAAGGCUGGGCCUUCUUGGGGUGCCUAAAGGCUUCCCCUUUCUGAGUUUGCAAGUCCCUAAAACGAUAUGAUGAGUAUGUCCCGAGAAUGGUAAUUUCGAUUGCGGACCUGUUGCCUUUGUCGCUGUCCCUUUCGGAUGAUGAAUAUGUCCCUUAAGUCCCGAGAAUGCUAAUUUCGAUUGCUGACCCAUGUUGCCUUUGCCGCUGUCCCUUUUCGGAUGAUGAAUAUGUCCCUUAAGUCCCGAGAAUGGUAAUUUCGAUUGCCGACCCUUGUUGCCUUUGUCGAUGUCCCUAUUCGGAUGAUGAAUAUGUCCCUUAAGUCCCGAGAAUGCUAAUUUCGAUUAUGGACCCUUGUUGCCUUUGUCGCUGUCCCUACAUUUUAAUAGCAAUGACCCUAAAGUCCCGAGAAUGGUAAUUAUGAUUGCGGACCCAUAUUGCCUUUGACGCUGUCCCUUUCCGAAUGAUGGUAAUUUGAGGGCUAAGCCUUCUUGGGGUGCCUAAAGGCUGACCCUUUAUGAGUUUGCAAGACCCUAAAAUGAGAUGGUUAAUAAUAAUGUCCCGAAAGUCCUGAGAAUGGUAAUUAUGAUUGCGGGCCCAUAUUGCCUUUGACGCUGUCCCUUUCCGGAUGAUGGUAAUUUGACGGCUAAGCCUUCUUGGGGUCCCUAAAGGGUUGACCCUUUCUGAGUUUGCAAGUCCCGAAAAUAAGAUGGUUAAUAACGAUGACCCUAAAGUCCUGAGAAUGUUAAUUUCGAUUGUGGAACCUUGUUGCUAUUGUCACUGUCCCUUUUCGGAUCAUCGAAUGAUGGUAAUUUGAGGGCUAAGCCUUCUUGACGUGCCUAAAGGUUUCAUCUUUCUGAGUUUGCAAGUCUCUAAAAUUAGAUGGUUAAUCAUGUUGGCUAAAAUAGUGGACCCUUGUUGCCUUUAUCUUUUGGGAUGAUGAUAAUUUGAGGGAUGACCCUUCAUGAGGGAUCCAAACGAAUAAUGAAUGACAUUUAACAUUUGACGAAAAUUGAGUCCCUAAUUGACGGAAAUAAUUGAUGCAAGUCUCUAAAAUGAGACGGUUUUUAAAUCUUGAUAAUCAAUGGUACUUAACCAUUCGUGCAUUCCGGUGGUGAUUGCUAUGAUCUUUUUGUGGGUGAUAUGAUUCUGGAAGUUUUGUAUCAUGAGGGAAAAGUAGACUGAUGGACUUGCCUGCUUAUAUUGUGGACCUUCUCUUUCUUGAUUUUUUUUAUUCUGUUGUGUGCCUUUUGGUGUUGAUAACUGUGUAAUGAGUUGAAACUAGAUAGUUAAACUAGAUGGUUGAAUUUCCCUUUGUAACUACUUGAAUUUGUAUGAGUUGGUUGAUUUUCUGUGUUGCUCUAGAGGAAGGAGAAGAGAUAGUUAUUAACUUUAACUCAGACCCAAUGAUGUUUAUGCUCCUUUAAUCAAUUCACAGUAUGUAUAUAUAAUUAGCAAUCUUGCCCCAUUGCCCUUAAUUAGAAGUUUGAUGGUCUUUUGGUGUUGAUAACUGGAUAAUGAAUAGGUCAUAUACUCAGUACAGAAGUGAUUUUGCCUCAUUAUUCAAGCUCUGAAAUAAGGGGGAUCUGGACUGGUGUUUAGAACAAGUCAAGCAAUGCAAAAGAGUUAUUUUGUCUAGUGCUGCACUAUUUUUGCUCAACUGAUCCAUCUGCUAUGUUGUCAACAUGAUGGCUAAAGUCUUGCGUUCCACUUGUUGCUUGAAAUUUGGUGAAUAUUUAGUUGUAUUUUUUCUCCUCUAAUGCUUUGCCCCAUAUUCACAUUUUGCAGAUACUUUAAAAUGUGGAAUUGCCAGAGCAGUUCCUCUUCACGGAGGAGGAUUUCAUGCGAUAUGAUGAGUAAGUUGAUUGAAGAACUAUGAUUACAUUUCUCCCUCAAAGCAAUUAACUUGCUUUAAUUUCCUCACCGUGUCGUAAAUUUGUUUGUGCAAAAUAAGGAUCUUCUGACAGAUGAACAACUCCUGUAUCAUACAUAAAGGACAAGUAACCCUGUGCCUUAAUUGAAUUUUGUGCACAUUAUGGAAUCUCGGCCUAGCAAUUUAUGGAUUAUGCAGUACAAUCCCUUGUUAUAGAGAAAGAUAUGUUGGCAUGUGUUUUAUCUUUAAAAUUUCUUUCCUUAAGGAAGUUAUGAUUCUGAACUAAACAGAUCUUUCUAUUUCGUUUAUUUGUAUAUGAUCGUUAUCAAUUACUCAAGUUACUAUAAACUAUAAUGGGUUUACAAUCUCUGUUAUAUCAAUAUUGUAGAAUUUAGGUAAUGAAGCAUGACUUAAAUGUGAAAGAUAACUACAUUUUAUUAGUGUGUGGAAUUAUGUUAUUGAGUUUCUGUUCUGAUUCUUUUACCUUUCAUUUCUAAUAUCCUUAUCUGCCACAUCAAUUUUUCACUGUUUAUAAGCCACAUAUAGGUUCAGACAUUUCCUAACUCCCUUCUUUAUUAUGUUAAUCUUAAUAUAUAUAUAAAAAAUCCCUUUAGAUCACCAGAUACCAUGUUCGAUGAAUCCCCUAGAUUUGUGCCACACAUUGAUGAUCCUGCAAUUGCUUCCCUGACUAGCUACUACUCCAAGGUUUUCCCAGUUGGGUCAGCCAUUUUCCACCAGGAUACAGGCAAGAACGAGUGGUGGGAUUAGGCUUGAAUGAAGAAGAGCUGAAGAGGAACCCGGUCCUCACGGAUAUAUUUUACAAGAUUUAAAUAUGAACCCCACACUCCCAUUUGAAGAUAAACAUCAUCACUAAUGUGGGUUCGGAGAAGGGUCUGGCCAUAUGGUCUAUUGUAGGCAGCCUUACCUAGGUUUUACACAAGAGGUUGUUUCCAAGAAUUGAACUCAUGGCAUCAGUACAUGGCAACAACCUUUUACCAUUGUGCCAAGGCUCCCCUUCUAAAUCGGACAGAUUGGACUAGUUAAUGUUAUCCGGAUUUCAACCAUGUUCAGAGUAAAUCAAAUAAUUUUUUGAAGUUAACCAAGCAUCCCCACAUUCGGUAGCUGAGUCUAAUCCCUCGUCUCACUAUAAGCCUACUAAGCGCUAAGAUGCUGACCAAUAAGAUUUUGCAUUUGUGGUUUACC
This is a long non-coding RNA of Lotus japonicus, 3735 nucleotides long. RefSeq lists it as uncharacterized. Lineage: Eukaryota; Viridiplantae; Streptophyta; Magnoliopsida; Fabales; Fabaceae. The record is from RefSeq and is a predicted model, not a curated record. The transcript is spliced from 4 exons.